UUACGGUCAUAUCAUGUUGAAACACCGGUUCCCGUACGAUCUCCGAAGUUAAGCAACGUUGAGUUUGGUUAGUACUUAGAUGGAUGACCAUUUGGGAAUACCAAGUGAUGUAAU
Acanthosepion pharaonis is the source of this 114-nucleotide non-coding RNA. Lineage: Eukaryota; Metazoa; Mollusca; Cephalopoda; Sepiida; Sepiidae. The record is from the annotation of a GenBank genome assembly.